CUGCAGGAGGUGAUGGUAAUGAGGGGUUUGGUUUUGUCGUUUUCUAAUCCAGCUCUUCUUCCUCAUCCUGGUGAACAGGCAGCUAGUCCAUGGAAAUCUUCCCACACUGGCUCUCACACAGGAUCUGAGUCUUUUACUGUUACCCAAGGUUGCUAUUGUGCUCUUAGACUGAUCUAGAGAAGGAAGUGACAGAAGGAAGUUUUCACGCUUCGUAGAUUUCUGUAACAUGUCUUCUGAAAGUUAUUUGCAUCAUGAAGAACCUGGCACACGCCUGCCACAGCCCUGCAAUUAGGAGCUUGAAGUUACAGAGUAAGGCAGCGGGCGGAGGAGGAGGAGGAGGAAGGGUCACGUCCACUCUCGACGUGGCUAAUUUAGCCAGAGGUCAGGCAAUAUCACGGCAGGAGGAGCCCCCUGUGUGUAGCUGACGCUGUUGGGAAACUGCGGCUAGCGGCGCGAGAGAGUGGGAUACCCGACCCUAGAGCUACCUGACGCAGCCUGAAAGAGAGAGAGAAAGAGAGUGGGGGAGUGAUAGACGCUGAAAAAGAGCCAGAAACGACUCAAGCAUCUCAUUUAUUGGAAGGUACUGUGACGCUGCGUUUCUUUACCGUAUAUCUUGCCUCGCAGGGGCUAUAGCGGCAGUGUUCCCAACAUCGAAAAGACUAGAAAACUGCAAUUAUAGGCUGUGAGUUGAUGUUCAUAUCACUGCGUGCCAACAUAGCAGCCUAACUAGUUCACGAGUUCACUUACUGAGCCAAGUUUUGGUGUUAGUGAUUUGUAAUCCAAAAAUUCAUUCAUUCAACUAUGAUUAUUUUGCAUGAGUUUAUACUGUGCUGUAUACUAAUGUAUUCGGGAGUUUAAAAAAAUCCACAUAAG
Molecule: long non-coding RNA, 873 nt
Filed under: Astyanax mexicanus (Mexican tetra)
Lineage: Eukaryota; Metazoa; Chordata; Actinopteri; Characiformes; Acestrorhamphidae
Description: lncRNA (ENSAMXG00005016276.1)
Source: RNAcentral